Molecule: long non-coding RNA, 1225 nt
Organism: Phyllostomus discolor (pale spear-nosed bat)
Lineage: Eukaryota; Metazoa; Chordata; Mammalia; Chiroptera; Phyllostomidae
Exons: 3
Source: RefSeq, a predicted model, not a curated record
CAUGGGGUGAAAAGUAUGAAUAACAAUAAACUCAUUGUUGAUAUAUAAUAUCAACUCAUGCUUCUACUCACCAUGGACAAGUUCUUCAUUAAAUCCCAAUUCUUCUUUUGGACCAGAUCUUUUUCAUAACCAAUCAACCGAUAAAUGAAGCCUCACAUUGUUUAGAAAACCAUGCUUGUCAUGGAGCCUACAUUUGUCAGACCAUCCCCCCAGAGACUCCCAUUCAUCAGGCCCUGUCAGGCUACAUUACUCAGCCUCACUAAUGCCCCCUCACAGGCUGCAACACUAUAUCCCACCUGGACCUGCCUGAUAGACGGCUUCUCUCUAUGCAGACUCCGAAGGGGCCCUUUGAGAAAUGCUUUAUUGAGGACUCUGAUGAAGGAAACUGCACCUUAAUGAAAGGCUUGCACCAGAGCAUAAUUAACUACUACUCCAGGGAUGUCAUAAGAAGGCAAUGUUCUUUGGAAAAGACAAGAAUGCUGGGAAAAAUAGAAGGCAGCAGGAAAAGAGGAAGAUCAAAUAUGAGAAGGACUGACUCCAUAGAAGAAGCCAUAGGCUUGAGUCUACAGCAGCUGAGCAGGGCUGCUGAGGACAGAAUACUGUGAACAUCACUCAUUCAUAGGGUUGCCAGGAACCAGAGACUACUCAACAGCACAUAACUCACAUACAGCCCAUUGCUGUUCUGGCAGCAAUUUCACCGAUUUGUCAUCUAUGAGGAUGAUGACUAUUUUCUUCACUGAAAAUGCAGGACCAGUCCUGAUCUCUCAAUGUCAUUAGAUUAAGGAAAACAAAGUCAGAACAAAGGCCAGAGAUUGUCAAGAAAACCAUUUAGCACAAGAGGGUUUUCCUGAAGCUUUUGAAAGAUAAAGAAAGAGCUAUGAAAGGAGCCAUUGAUGACUGUAAAGAGCAUAAACAUGGGCUGUGUGAUGUAAUCAUGAAAGAAACCUCAUAACCACAAAUCAGUAAAUGUUUCACAAUUUACCUCAAUCAAGUUUCCUUAAAGUUCCAAUUUCAACUUGAACUUAUUAUCUUUCCCUCUCUAUUAUCUUUAAUUACAGAAAAAUUUCACCAACUUGUAAUUUAGGGACAUUUGGUCUAACAAGGAAAGUUUAUUUACCAUAUGGGUAUUCUCCAGAUUACAGUCUGUUUCCCGAUAGAAAUUAAUAUAAAUGGUCAGAGAGUAGAGUUCCUUGGAAACAGUAAACAUUAAAAUUUAUUAUAAAUA